RNAcentral lists this ribosomal RNA (467 nucleotides) under uncultured bacterium. Its description in RNAcentral is "partial 16S ribosomal RNA". It matches the Rfam family "Bacterial small subunit ribosomal RNA", at positions 29 to 507 of the family's 1533-position model. The record is from RNAcentral.
ACGAACGCUGGCGGCGUGCUUAACACAUGCAAGUCGAACGGAAAGGCCCUGCUUUUGUGGGGUGCUCGAGUGGCGAACGGGUGAGUAACACGUGAGUAACCUGCCCUUGACUUUGGGAUAACUUCAGGAAACUGGGGCUAAUACCGGAUAGGAGCUCCUGCUGCAUGGUGGGGGUUGGAAAGUUUCGGCGGUUGGGGAUGGACUCGCGGCUUAUCAGCUUGUUGGUGGGGUAGUGGCUUACCAAGGCUUUGACGGGUAGCCGGCCUGAGAGGGUGACCGGCCACAUUGGGACUGAGAUACGGCCCAGACUCCUACGGGAGGCAGCAGUGGGGAAUAUUGCACAAUGGGCGGAAGCCUGAUGCAGCAACGCCGCGUGCGGGAUGACGGCCUUCGGGUUGUAAACCGCUUUCGCCUGUGACGAAGCGUGAGUGACGGUAAUGGGUAAAGAAGCACCGGCUAACUAAGUG